UCAGGCCUAACACAUGCAAGUCGAGCGAGGACUUCGGUCCCAGCGGCGGACGGGUGAGUAACGCGUGGGAACGUGCCCUUUGCUUCGGAAUAGCCCUGGGAAACUGGGAGUAAUACCGGAUGAGCCCUACGGGGGAAAGAUUUAUCGGCGAAGGAUCGGCCCGCGUUGGAUUAGGUAGUUGGUGGGGUAAUGGCCUACCAAGCCGACGAUCCAUAGCUGGUUUGAGAGGAUGAUCAGCCACACUGGGACUGAGACACGGCCCAGACUCCUACGGGAGGCAGCAGUGGGGAAUCUUAGACAAGUGGGGGAAACCCUGAUCUAGCCAUGCCGCGUGAGUGAAGAGAGGCCUUAGGGUUGUAAAGCUCUUCAGCUGGGAAGAUAAUGA
This 385-nucleotide ribosomal RNA is filed under the name uncultured bacterium. Its description in RNAcentral is "bacterial SSU rRNA". It matches the Rfam family "Bacterial small subunit ribosomal RNA", at positions 42 to 454 of the family's 1533-position model. The record is from RNAcentral.